This 680-nucleotide ribosomal RNA is filed under the name uncultured archaeon. RNAcentral describes it as "bacterial SSU rRNA". It matches the Rfam family "Archaeal small subunit ribosomal RNA", at positions 659 to 1337 of the family's 1478-position model. The record is from RNAcentral.
CCGGUGGCGAAAGCGCCUCGAGAGGACGGACCCGACAGUGAGGGACGAAAGCCAGGGUCUCGAACCGGAUUAGAUACCCGGGUAGUCCUGGCCGUAAACGAUGUCUGCUAGGUGUGGCGCAGGCUACGAGCCUGCGCUGUGCCGCAGGGAAGCCGUGAAGCAGACCGCCUGGGAAGUACGUCUGCAAGGAUGAAACUUAAAGGAAUUGGCGGGGGAGCACUACAACCGGAGGAGCCUGCGGUUUAAUUGGACUCAACGCCGGACAUCUCACCAGCUCCGACUACAGUGAUGACGACCAGGUUGAUGACCUCAUCACGACGCUGUAGAGAGGAGGUGCAUGGCCGCCGUCAGCUCGUACCGUGAGGCGUCCUGUUAAGUCAGGCAACGAGCGAGACCCGCACCCCUAAUUGCCAGCAACAGUUUCGACUGGUUGGGUACAUUAGGAGGACUGCCAGUGUUAAACUGGAGGAAGGAACGGGCAACGGUAGGUCAGUAUGCCCCGAAUGAGCUGGGCAACACGCGGGCUACAAUGGCUAAGACAAUGGGUCGCUAUCUUGACAGAGAACGCUAAUCUUGAAACUUAGUCGUAGUUCGGAUUGAGGGCUGAAACUCGCCCUCACGAAGCUGGAUUCGGUAGUAGCCGCCUUUCAGUAGAAGGCGACGAAUACGUCCCUGCUCCU